GACGAACGCUGGCGGCGUGCUUAACACAUGCAAGUCGAACGGAAAGGCCCUGCUUUUGUGGGGUUCUCGAGUGGCGAACGGGUGAGUAACACGUGAGUAACCUGCCCUUGACUUUGGGAUAACUUCAGGAAACUGGGGCUAAUACCCGAUAGGAGCUCCUGCUGCAUGGUGGGGGUUGGAAAGUUUCGGCGGUUGGGGAUGGACUCGCGGCUUAUCAGCUUGUUGGUGGGGUAGUGGCUUACCAAGGCUUUGACGGGUAGCCGGCCUGAGAGGGUGACCGGGGACAAUGGGACUGAGAGACGGCGCAGACUGGAACGGGAGGCAGCAGUGGGGAAUCUGGCACAAUGGGGGGAAGUGUGAUGCAGCAACGCCGCGUGCGGGAUGCCGGCUUUCGGGUUGAAAACCGCUUUGGCCUGUGACGAAGCGGGAGUGACGGUAAUGGGUAAAGAAGCACCGGCUAACUACGUG
Molecule: ribosomal RNA, 468 nt
Filed under: uncultured bacterium
Lineage: Bacteria
Description: partial 16S ribosomal RNA
Rfam family: Bacterial small subunit ribosomal RNA
Source: RNAcentral